GACGAACGCUGACGGCGUGCUUAACACAUGCAAGUCGAACGGUGAAGCGCCUUCCUUUUUGGUGGGUGUGGAUGAGUGGCGAACGGGUGAGUAACACGUGAGUAACCUGCCCCCUUCUUCUGGAUAACCGCAUGAAAGUGUGGCUAAUACGGGAUAUUCUGGGUCUGUCGCAUGAUGGGUCUGGGAAAGAUAUUGUUUCGGUGGGGGAUGGGCUCGCGGCCUAUCAGCUUGUUGGUGGGGUGAUGGCCUACCAAGGCGGUGACGGGUAGCCGGCCUGAGAGGGUGGACGGUCACACUGGGACUGAGACACGGCCCAGACUCCUACGGGAGGCAGCAGUGGGGAAUAUAGCACAAUGGGCGCAAGCCUGAUGCAGCGACGCCGCGUGAGGGAUGGAGGCCUUCGGGUUGUGAACCUCUUUCGCCAGUGAAGCAGGCCUGCCUCGUUUGUGGGUGGGUUGACGGUAGCUGGAUAAGAAGCGCCGGCUAACUACGUG
RNAcentral lists this ribosomal RNA (494 nucleotides) under uncultured bacterium. RNAcentral describes it as "partial 16S ribosomal RNA". It matches the Rfam family "Bacterial small subunit ribosomal RNA", at positions 28 to 507 of the family's 1533-position model. The record is from RNAcentral.